GGUUCUCCUCUCUACAUUCUCGCUUGCCAAGCUCGAGUCCAAUCAACUCUUGCUUGCGGAAACAAGCGGUUGUAAUGAAGAUCCCGUGGCAAUCCAUCUUGUGCGAGGAGAUGUGACAGAGGGAUUGCCCAAGUCUCAACCACGCGCUUCAACGAAGAUAUUGCCCCGUGCCUCCCCCAUGGGUGGAGAUCCCGGAGGUUUUGGAUGCGCAAGGGUAUAGGACAGCAAUGUUCUUUACCACCGCGCCGCCAUCCCAGUCUCUUGAUUGAGCCUUGAAUGUCUUCCAUGUUGCAAGUUGCGUUCUUGUGUUGGUGUGUCACAUUACGUUGACACCCUAUACUUCUC
This 345-nucleotide unclassified non-coding RNA is filed under the name uncultured Chloromonas. RNAcentral's name for it is "partial contains ITS2 and 28S rRNA". The record is from RNAcentral. Lineage: Eukaryota; Viridiplantae; Chlorophyta; Chlorophyceae; Chlamydomonadales; Chlamydomonadaceae.